ACCUUCUCCUGCAGCACAGCCUGGAGCCCGACUACUGCACGGUGGUAGAAAUUACAGCCCAGGAGGCUCCAUAGUGAAGGGUUGUCAGAGGAGGACACGCCUGCCCCCAGGUUCCUACAAUAUAGGAUCCGCUCAGUGGAUAUCUUCUAUAUAAGACCCCUCUCCUGAUUGACCCAUUAAGGAUGGACAGGAACAAGAUAACGGAGAGGAUAAUAAAUCUCACCCUAGAGAUCCUCUUCCAGCUUACUGGAGAGGACUACACAGUAGUGAAGAAGACCUCUAGUGAGCGCUGUCAGGACCCUGUGUCUGAGGAAUGGGGAAGAACCCUUAGCCCAAUCAUGGGACCUCUACCUCACCCCCUGAUACAUGAGGAAAUCAAUAGAGAGAAGAUCCUAGAACUCACCAACAAGAUGAUUGAGCUGCUGACUGGAGAGGUUCCUAUAAGGUGUCAGGAUGUCACCGUCUAUUUUUCCAUGGAGGAG
Molecule: long non-coding RNA, 482 nt
Organism: Bufo gargarizans (Asiatic toad)
Lineage: Eukaryota; Metazoa; Chordata; Amphibia; Anura; Bufonidae
Exons: 4
Source: RefSeq, a predicted model, not a curated record